This 388-nucleotide ribosomal RNA is filed under the name uncultured bacterium. RNAcentral describes it as "bacterial SSU rRNA". It matches the Rfam family "Bacterial small subunit ribosomal RNA", at positions 29 to 418 of the family's 1533-position model. The record is from RNAcentral.
AUUAAACGCUGGCGGCAUGCCUUACACAUGCAAGUCGAACGGCAGCACGGGGGCAACCCUGGUGGCGAGUGGCGGACGGGUGAGUAAUGCAUCGGAACGUGCCCUGAAGUGGGGGAUAACGCAGCGAAAGCUACGCUAAUACCGCAUAUUCUGUGAGCAGGAAAGCAGGGGAUCGCAAGACCUUGCGCUUUGGGAGCGGCCGAUGUCGGAUUAGCUAGUUGGUGGGGUAAAGGCCUACCAAGGCGACGAUCCGUAGCGGGUCUGAGAGGAUGAUCCGCCACACUGGGACUGAGACACGGCCCAGACUCCUACGGGAGGCAGCAGUGGGGAAUUUUGGACAAUGGGCGGAAGCCUGAUCCAGCCAUGCCGCGUGAGUGAAGAAGGCCUC